Molecule: ribosomal RNA, 425 nt
Filed under: uncultured bacterium
Lineage: Bacteria
Description: partial 16S ribosomal RNA
Rfam family: Bacterial small subunit ribosomal RNA
Source: RNAcentral
GUUAGGAAUAUUGGACAAUGGGCGCAAGCCUGAUCCAGCCAUGCCGCGUGAACGAUGAAGGCCUUCGGGUUGUAAAGUUCUUUAGCCGAUGAUUAUAAUGACUGUAGUCGGAAAAUAAGCCCCGGCUAACUUCGUGCCAGCAGCCGCGGUAAUACGAAGGGGGCGAGCGUUAUUCGGAAUCACUGGGCGUAAAGCGUGCGUAGGCGGUCUCGUAAGUUAGGAGUGAAAGCCCAGGGCUCAACCUUGGAAUUGCUCUUAAUACUGCAAGGCUAGAAUCUCGGAGAGGAGAGCGGAAUUUCCAGUGUAGCAGUGAAAUGCGUAGAUAUUGGAAGGAACACCAGUGGCGUAAGCGGCUAUCUGGACGAGCAUUGACGCUGAGGCACGAAAGCGUGGGGAUCAAACAGGAUUAGAUACCCCAGUAGUCC